GCCUGGGUAGCUCAGUGGUAGAGCAGAGGACUGAAAAUCCUCGUGUCGUCAGUUCAAUUCUGACCCCAGGCACCA
Molecule: transfer RNA, 75 nt
Filed under: Candidatus Uhrbacteria bacterium RIFOXYB12_FULL_58_10
Lineage: Bacteria; Candidatus Uhriibacteriota
Also listed under: 3 other names
Description: tRNA-Phe
Rfam family: tRNA
About the family: Transfer RNA (tRNA) molecules are approximately 80 nucleotides in length. Their secondary structure includes four short double-helical elements and three loops (D, anti-codon, and T loops).
Source: RNAcentral